Molecule: ribosomal RNA, 224 nt
Filed under: uncultured bacterium
Lineage: Bacteria
Description: partial 16S ribosomal RNA
Rfam family: Bacterial small subunit ribosomal RNA
Source: RNAcentral
AGUAAUGUCUGGGAAACUGCCUGAUGGAGGGGGAUAACGUACUGGAAACGGUAGCUAAUACCGCAUAACGUCGCAAGACCAAAGUGGGGGACCUUCGGGGCCUCAUGCCAUCAGAUGUGCCCAGAUGGGAUUAGCUAGUAGGUGGGGUAACGGCUCACCUAGGCGACGAUCCCUAGCUGGUCUGAGAGGAUGACCAGCCACACUGGAACUGAGACACGGUCCAG